Molecule: ribosomal RNA, 253 nt
Filed under: uncultured bacterium
Lineage: Bacteria
Description: partial 16S ribosomal RNA
Rfam family: Bacterial small subunit ribosomal RNA
Source: RNAcentral
AACGUAGGAGGCGAGCGUUAUCCGGAUUUACUGGGUGUAAAGCGCGUGCAGGCGGUUUGCUAAGUUGGGGGUGAAAGCUCCUGGCUCAACUGGGAGAGGUCGCUCAAGACUGGCCGACUGGAGAGCAGUAAGGGAAGGUGGAAUUCCGGGUGUAGUGGUGAAAUGCGUAGAUAUCCGGAGGAACACCAGUGGCGAAGGCGGCCUUCUGGACUGCUUCUGACGCUCAGACGCGAAAGCUAGGGGAGCAAACGGG